RNAcentral lists this long non-coding RNA (1072 nucleotides) under Numida meleagris (helmeted guineafowl). Its description in RNAcentral is "lncRNA (ENSNMEG00000020989.1)". Lineage: Eukaryota; Metazoa; Chordata; Aves; Galliformes; Numididae. The record is from RNAcentral.
CAGAAAUGCAUUGAAAAGAGGAUUCUUGAACAUCAGCUAUUAUCGGUCGAUGAACACUGCAAGAUCAGCUUUGAGGUUUAUAUUUAAUUAAUAUAUUGAGAAGAUUUAGUAAGAUAAAAGCCUACCAGAUGAACAAAACACUCCUCAUUGAAACAUGCAUCUUCACAGCUCCUCUGACAACGCAGGUGGCAGCGGGGUGGGGAGAGCUUCUGUGGAAGCACCAUGUUGGUUUAAAAAGAGAAAAGAAAGCAGGUGGAGUGCCAAAAAUAAACCAAGAAUGGAACCUGAGACCACAGCUGUCUGGCGGCUCCUGCUGCAACAAGGCUGGAGAGCCCCCACGGCAUUCCCACAGGAGCUGAGGAAGGGGUGACAGGAACUAUUCCAUAGUGAACAGUUAAAAUGAUGGCAUUCAACAGAACUGCCACAACAGAGCCUGCUGUUGCUGCUAAUUUGCUGAAGUAGAUCUGCUGUCUUUACUUCCUCCGCUGCUCCUGCUGCACCUCGAGGCAUGCUGAGGGCUCAUCCAUCAUGUGCUGGCUCAUAACAAGGCAAGGAGAGGGAGCUCAAUUGUAGUGUACAAGAAACUGAAGUGUAGGUCCAAAAGGUCACAGGAAACCAGCAACUGUUUAGAAUGGGCGAGCUGGGAAAAAGAUCCUGCAAAGGAAAACAUAGCAUGAGAACAGUUCUCAGGCUCAUCCAGAGCGUCCAUGGGGGCUGCUGCUAGCGGCAGUGCACUCGGAGCUGCGUGCAGGAAAGGCAUCCGGAGCAUGCCAGGGACAAAGCCCCGGAAGGCCCCAUCGUGCUUGAUAAGCUUUUAAUGCAGAACAAUUUGAAAUCGCCUUUAAUGCUCCAAUGGAGAACCGAUAUACGCAAGAUUUUUCCCUUCUGUCAUGUGGCAUUAGGGCAAAAGACUGGAUAAUAACAGCGAUACGUUAGUCCUGCCAGAGACCUGCACUGACACAUGCAACGUGGGCACAUGGGCAUAUUGUCAGCACCUCCACGAGCACUGCCAUGACCUAACUUUCAAGCAGCUGCACUCACGUCACACAGCACAUGGCUUUAAGCAGGCCCC